Molecule: ribosomal RNA, 497 nt
Filed under: uncultured bacterium
Lineage: Bacteria
Description: partial 16S ribosomal RNA
Rfam family: Bacterial small subunit ribosomal RNA
Source: RNAcentral
GAUGAACGCUGGCGGCGUGCCUAAUACAUGCAAGUCGAGCGAACAGACGAGGAGCUUGCUCCUCUGACGUUAGCGGCGGACGGGUGAGUAACACGUGGAUAACCUACCUAUAAGACUGGGAUAACUUCGGGAAACCGGAGCUAAUACCGGAUAAUAUAUUGAACCGCAUGGUUCAAUAGUGAAAGACGGUUUUGCUGUAACUUAUAGCUGGAUCCGCGCCGCAUUAGCUAGUUGGUAAGGUAACGGCUUACCAAGGCGACGAUGCGUAGCCGACCUGAGAGGGUGAUCGGCCACACUGGAACUGAGACACGGUCCAGACUCCUACGGGAGGCAGCAGUAGGGAAUCUUCCGCAAUGGGCGAAAGCUUGACGGAGCAACGCCGCGUGAGUGAUGAAGGUCUUCGGAUCGUAAAACUCUGUUAUUAGGGAAGAACAAAUGUGUAAGUAACUAUGCACGUCUUGACGGUACCUAAUCAGAAAGCCACGGCUAACUACGUG